UGUUCCUGUGUGGGAGGAUUGUGGGCCUUCUACAUGUCUGUGCCCAGGGGCCCAUUGUCUCAUAAUUUGUCUAUG
This is a long non-coding RNA of Etheostoma spectabile (orangethroat darter), 75 nucleotides long. RefSeq lists it as uncharacterized. The transcript is spliced from 3 exons. The record is from RefSeq and is a predicted model, not a curated record. NCBI's taxonomy places the organism in Eukaryota, Metazoa, Chordata, Actinopteri, Perciformes, Percidae.